Molecule: ribosomal RNA, 2260 nt
Filed under: Salmonella enterica
Lineage: Bacteria; Pseudomonadati; Pseudomonadota; Gammaproteobacteria; Enterobacterales; Enterobacteriaceae
Also listed under: 3 other names
Description: partial 23S ribosomal RNA
Rfam family: Bacterial large subunit ribosomal RNA
Source: RNAcentral
GGGCGUUAAGUUGCAGGGUAUAGACCCGAAACCCGGUGAUCUAGCCAUGGGCAGGUUGAAGGUUGGGUAACACUAACUGGAGGACCGAACCGACUAAUGUUGAAAAAUUAGCGGAUGACCUGUGGCUGGGGGUGAAAGGCCAAUCAAACCGGGAGAUAGCUGGUUCUCCCCGAAAGCUAUUUAGGUAGCGCCUCGUGAAUUCAUCUCCGGGGGUAGAGCACUGUUUCGGCUAGGGGGCCAUCCCGGCUUACCAACCCGAUGCAAACUGCGAAUACCGGAGAAUGUUAUCACGGGAGACACACGGCGGGUGCUAACGUCCGUCGUGAAGAGGGAAACAACCCAGACCGCCAGCUAAGGUCCCAAAGUCAUGGUUAAGUGGGAAACGAUGUGGGAAGGCCCAGACAGCCAGGAUGUUGGCUUAGAAGCAGCCAUCAUUUAAAGAAAGCGUAAUAGCUCACUGGUCGAGUCGGCCUGCGCGGAAGAUGUAACGGGGCUAAACCAUGCACCGAAGCUGCGGCAGCGACGCUGAUGCGUUGUUGGGUAGGGGAGCGUUCUGUAAGCCUGCGAAGGUGGCCUGUGAGGGUUGCUGGAGGUAUCAGAAGUGCGAAUGCUGACAUAAGUAACGAUAAAGCGGGUGAAAAGCCCGCUCGCCGGAAGACCAAGGGUUCCUGUCCAACGUUAAUCGGGGCAGGGUGAGUCGACCCCUAAGGCGAGGCCGAAAGGCGUAGUCGAUGGGAAACGGGUUAAUAUUCCCGUACUUGGUGUUACUGCGAAGGGGGGACGGAGAAGGCUAUGUUGGCCGGGCGACGGUUGUCCCGGUUUAAGCGUGUAGGUGUGUGUUCCAGGUAAAUCCGGUUCACUUUAACACUGAGGCGUGAUGACGAGGCACUACGGUGCUGAAGCAACAAAUGCCCUGCUUCCAGGAAAAGCCUCUAAGCAUCAGGUAACAUCAAAUCGUACCCCAAACCGACACAGGUGGUCAGGUAGAGAAUACCAAGGCGCUUGAGAGAACUCGGGUGAAGGAACUAGGCAAAAUGGUGCCGUAACUUCGGGAGAAGGCACGCUGACACGUAGGUGAAGUGAUUUACUCAUGGAGCUGAAGUCAGUCGAAGAUACCAGCUGGCUGCAACUGUUUAUUAAAAACACAGCACUGUGCAAACACGAAAGUGGACGUAUACGGUGUGACGCCUGCCCGGUGCCGGAAGGUUAAUUGAUGGGGUCAGCGCAAGCGAAGCUCCUGAUCGAAGCCCCGGUAAACGGCGGCCGUAACUAUAACGGUCCUAAGGUAGCGAAAUUCCUUGUCGGGUAAGUUCCGACCUGCACGAAUGGCGUAAUGAUGGCCAGGCUGUCUCCACCCGAGACUCAGUGAAAUUGAACUCGCUGUGAAGAUGCAGUGUACCCGCGGCAAGACGGAAAGACCCCGUGAACCUUUACUAUAGCUUGACACUGAACAUUGAGCCUUGAUGUGUAGGAUAGGUGGGAGGCUUUGAAGUGUGGACGCCAGUCUGCAUGGAGCCGACCUUGAAAUACCACCCUUUAAUGUUUGAUGUUCUAACGUGGACCCGUGAUCCGGGUUGCGGACAGUGUCUGGUGGGUAGUUUGACUGGGGCGGUCUCCUCCUAAAGAGUAACGGAGGAGCACGAAGGUUGGCUAAUCCUGGUCGGACAUCAGGAGGUUAGUGCAAUGGCAUAAGCCAGCUUGACUGCGAGCGUGACGGCGCGAGCAGGUGCGAAAGCAGGUCAUAGUGAUCCGGUGGUUCUGAAUGGAAGGGCCAUCGCUCAACGGAUAAAAGGUACUCCGGGGAUAACAGGCUGAUACCGCCCAAGAGUUCAUAUCGACGGCGGUGUUUGGCACCUCGAUGUCGGCUCAUCACAUCCUGGGGCUGAAGUAGGUCCCAAGGGUAUGGCUGUUCGCCAUUUAAAGUGGUACGCGAGCUGGGUUUAGAACGUCGUGAGACAGUUCGGUCCCUAUCUGCCGUGGGCGCUGGAGAACUGAGGGGGGCUGCUCCUAGUACGAGAGGACCGGAGUGGACGCAUCACUGGUGUUCGGGUUGUCAUGCCAAUGGCACUGCCCGGUAGCUAAAUGCGGAAGAGAUAAGUGCUGAAAGCAUCUAAGCACGAAACUUGCCCCGAGAUGAGUUCUCCCUGAGACUUUAGGUCUCCUGAAGGAACGUUGAAGACGACGACGUUGAUAGGCCGGGUGUGUAAGCGCAGCGAUGCGUUGAGCUAACCGGUACUAAUGAACCGUGAGGCUUAACCUU